This 292-nucleotide ribosomal RNA is filed under the name uncultured bacterium. Its description in RNAcentral is "partial 16S ribosomal RNA". The record is from RNAcentral.
GGACUACUGGGGUUUCUAAUCCCGUUCGCUCCCCUGGCUUUCGCAUCUGAGCGUCAGGAGCUUGCCAGGACAUUGCCUUCGCCUUUGGUGUUCCUCCGGAUCUCUACGCAUUUCACCACUCCACCCGGAAUUCCAUGUCCCUCUCAAGCCCUCAAGUCCAACAGUUUUCAAAGCACUUUCCCGGUUAAGCCGGCAACUGUCACUCCAAACUUAUUGGACCGCCUGCAUGCGCUUUACGCCCAGUAACUCCGGACAACGCUCGCCCCCUACGUAUUACCGCGGCUGCUGGCAC